RNAcentral lists this long non-coding RNA (1012 nucleotides) under Homo sapiens (human). RNAcentral describes it as "non-protein coding lnc-ZNF624-2:1". Lineage: Eukaryota; Metazoa; Chordata; Mammalia; Primates; Hominidae. The record is from RNAcentral.
GGCUCCUGGCCGCCGGCUGCUACCCGCGCUCCGUGGGCAGGGCCAGUCCGGGGGAGCGGACCCCGAGAGGCGCGGCGGGAUGGCAGGCGGUGUCCAAAAGCCUCUGAAAGUCGCAGCCGGGCGCGAGUCGCUGACCGACCGGGAGGCCCCGAUCUGUCCCAGCCAAGGCCUCCCGGCGCCAUCACCCACCAGGAGUCCCGGGCGGGGGCAUCGCUCCCUCCACGCUGUCGCGGGCUUCUGCCAGGCGGUGAUCUGUGCCCAACGCCACCAAAGGGCAGCUUGUGCCCAAGAGUGGGGGAAAUGCAUCCUUCCCGGGGAUCUGAAAGCUCCAGGUCCUCCUGCCAGGAGCCCACGGCCUCAGAUGGCGCCCAGGACGCGCCCGCGCUGGGGAAGCGCCCCCUGCACCUGAGCCCGAAAUUGUCCCCAACAAACCCCACACCCGCAGGGCUGACGUUUGGACUCCGGGGUGCGGUGUCGAUGAAAUGGGCACCGCGUGCUUUCCAUGCAAAAGACACGGAGUCUGGAGUUUAUGGAAUUAUUGAAGGAAAGCCGCGCCAGUGCCAAGAGAUCAUGGCCCAGAGCUGGCAGAACUGAUCAGACCAAUGCUGAGCAAAAGGCCUGAAGAAGACCAUCUGGAGGAGCAUCCCGAGGGCUUUCCCCAAAGCACCAGAUCGCCUUCCUUUCCGAGGCCACAAAGGCGAGAACUUCCAGAAAUAGCAUGAAACACGGUGACUUGGUGACAUCCAAGCCUGCUGCCACCGUGGUUUCCGGGAAGGCAGAAUCAAGGCAUGAAGUAAUCCACGCCAACCACGCUCCUCUGAGGGCUGAGCAAGACAUCGAUAGUGGGUGAAGGCAAGUGUUUGUCCCAGGAGAGGCCCAGGAUGGUUGGUCCCUUGAAGUCACCCGCCAGUCUGAAGGCCCAGGGGACUUGAGCAAUACCAAGAACUGGCCACGGUCAGUAGGGUAAAUAUUGGCAUCUUACCUGCAGAAGGGAGGGAUGCAGCGAGCGAGG